AUUCAUCUUCGGGGUAGGGUGCAAUUCCCAACCGGCAGUAAUUAAAGCCUGCGACCCAUUUAUUUUCAUUUAAAUAAAUGGCUGAUCUAGUGCAAAUCUAGAGCCGACAGUAAAGUCUGGAUGGGAGAAGAUGGAG
Molecule: non-coding RNA, 136 nt
Filed under: Staphylococcus sp.
Lineage: Bacteria; Bacillati; Bacillota; Bacilli; Caryophanales; Staphylococcaceae
Description: FMN sequence
Rfam family: FMN riboswitch aptamer (RFN element)
About the family: The RFN element is a highly conserved domain that is found frequently in the 5'-untranslated regions of prokaryotic mRNAs that encode for flavin mononucleotide (FMN) biosynthesis and transport proteins. This element is a metabolite-dependent riboswitch that directly binds FMN in the absence of proteins.
Source: RNAcentral